This is a long non-coding RNA of Patella vulgata (common limpet), 2359 nucleotides long. RefSeq lists it as uncharacterized. The transcript has 3 exons. The record is from RefSeq and is a predicted model, not a curated record. Lineage: Eukaryota; Metazoa; Mollusca; Gastropoda; Patellidae.
UAUCGAACGUUAAAUUGUUAUUCGUAAUAUCUCUUUUCAAUGCUAAAGUAUGAAAACAUUUGUUAGCUAUGUAAAUUCAUCAAAUCAAAAGUUCUAGAAAGAUUUGGAAUAUUCUGAUUCUGUAACAAAUGUAAAUUUAUAUUUCGGUCAUUUUUGAAAAUAGUGAGUUACUAGGGAUUCGUCGUGGCCUAGAUUCCGAUUUGACUUUUAAUGGAGGUAUAACCGUGGCUGUAACAGGGACUUUCUUCUUGUCAAAAUUUUAUAUCGAAUGCAGCUAAGUCAAUUUAUUAUGUCACACAAUUAAUUAUUAUCUUUAAUCCAGUCAAAAACUGGAACUAUUUUGCGAUAUGGUUCCAUUUCGAGCGGUGAUCUGGUUAUGCGACGCGUUUACCCGAAUAAUUCGCUUUCAGAAUCUGAUUAUUCUGUUACCAAUUUAAUAAUAUAAUUUAAAAAAAACAAAACUGUUUAGGAUUAUCUUAUUUACGGAAGAGAACGUGUAAUGGGUCGAAUGUCUCGUCAAUACAAUAUCAGACAUUCUGAGAUUAAUUUGUUUUUAUCGUUAGAUAAAUUUAUCGUCUCAAGGAAUGAGGCCGAAAGUUUUGAAACUGAAUCAAUCGGGUUGACUGAAAAAAACAAACAAAAAAAAACCCUAAGCAUGUCGCCACGGCCAUGGCAUCAUUAUAUCUAACCUUUUAUGCUUUUAUGAAGUCAAAGAACACGUUGAUUUGUUUCGCGACCUAUACAUAGGCCUACAGUAUUUGUUUAAAGACCCAAACGAAGUUGAUUUGGAGAAAAAUAAAGCUCCUUAAGCAGAGAAAAGACACAAGAAUGUAUUGAUGUUGGAUGUUUAAGUUGAAAAAAUCAAACUAAAGACUUCAGCAGAAGUGAAAUGAUCCCAAAAAGAACUUAAGGGGGGAAUAUUUUUCAAGGAAUAAUGAAAUCUAGAGAAGAAUACCAGAAGAAAAAUGGUACAGGAGAAAUUUCAAGAUCUAGAUUGGUAAAAUGCUUUCUAGAUGGAGCUUAGUAAAUGCAUUUCAAGAUUGAGCUUAUUAAAAAUUGAAUUCUAGAAAUAGAAACCUUUGAUUACCGUGCACCACAAGCUUUUGCUUACGAUAAUGUCGAAUCAUUUUGGUGUUGCAGAAAUUGCAAAAGAGUGGAUGGCGUCAUAUCUACAAAACAGGAGUUUUCGUGUAAAAGUUAAGAAUGAUUUCUCCGAUGUAAAACAUGUCAAUUUUUCAGUUCCACAAGGUAGCAUCAAUGGUCCGAUCUACUUUAUCUGCUAUACCAGUACACUAGCAUCCUGCAUCAGACACAAUCAAACAUUAGUUGGCUACGCCGAUGACCACAGCUUGUAUGACAGUUUUAAAGCCGGAGAUCUUGAUGCAGAAUCUCAUAUUGCUUCCCGCGUAUCAGAGUCCUUAGACGACGUUAAAAUCUGGAUGCUGCAUAAUCGACUAAAGAUGAACGACGAAAAAACUGAGGUUAUUAUCUUCGGUGGUAGCCGUCAGCUCCACAAGUCUACCAUCCAUGAAUUAAGAGUUGGGGAUUCUGUAGUUGGGUCUUCAUCCCGUGUUAAAUUCCUGGGGAUGCAUUUGGACGAAAACUUAAACUUAAAGAGUCAUUUUGCCCAGAAGACUUGUUGUGCUGCUUCGGCAAUGUUCAACUUGCGGAAAUUGAGACCGUUUCUUUCGCGAGAAUCAUCUCUUCAAAUUGCCAGUUCUUUAGUUUUCUCCCAUAUGGAUUACAGAAAUAGUCUGCUCUGUGGUUUGCCAGCAACUACUCUUCAACCUCUCCAACGAAUUCAAAAUUUUACUGCAAAGCUAAUUCUUGGUGUUAAUUACGGCCAUAGCUCGACUGGUGCUCUGAAAGAACUUCAUAUAUUGCCAGUUGAAGUCUGAUGCCAAUUCAAGCUACUGGUACUGGUGUAUAAGUGUCUCCACAACCUUGCCCCUGUCUACCUUUCUGAAUUAUUGCAGUCCCAAACUUCAUCAUGCAAUACGAGAUCGUCAUCAAAAAACAUGUUAUUUAUACCCAAGACAAAAAGUAAAACAUUUGCAGACAGAUCGUUCAGUGUGCUAGGACCGCGGCUCUGGAAUACCCUUCCAGAAAGUGUGAAACAAUGUCAAACUGUAACGGAUGUUAUUACAUCGUUUCUUCACAGACAGUUGAGUUGAUGAUAAUGUAACAAUAAAGAACUUUUUUCAUUGGAUCUUAUUAUUUCAUUACAAAUUUUGAAUGUAAAUACAUGUAACAUUUUGUUUUAUAUUUUGAAAUAUUGUAUAUAUUAUGGAAAAUUGUGAUAAUUGUUUAUUAAUUUUGAAAUAUCUAGACUGUGAUUUGGUUUUAAUUCAUGCAUAUG